RNAcentral lists this ribosomal RNA (502 nucleotides) under uncultured bacterium. RNAcentral describes it as "partial 16S ribosomal RNA". It matches the Rfam family "Bacterial small subunit ribosomal RNA", at positions 28 to 507 of the family's 1533-position model. The record is from RNAcentral.
GAUUAACGCUGGCGGCGUGCCUAACACAUGCAAGUCGAGCGGCAGCGAGUUUUACACUGACUUCUGGAAGCUUCUAGUUGAAAGAGAAGAUUUAUUCAAGAAUUUUGUGUAAAAUGUCGGCGAGCGGCGGACGGCUGAGUAACGCGUGGGAACGUACCCCAAAGUGAGGGAUAACGCAUCGAAAGGUGUGCUAAUACCGCAUAUGGUCUUCGGAUUAAAGCCUUCGGGCGCUUUGGGAACGGCCUGCGUAAGAUUAGAUAGUUGGUGGGGUAAUGGCCUACCAAGUCGACGAUCUUUAACUGGUUAGAGAGGAUGAGCAGUCAGACUGGAACUGAGACACGGUCCAGACUCCUACGGGAGGCAGCAGUGAGGAAUCUUCCACAAGGGGCGAGAGCCUGAUGGAGCAACGCCGCGUGCAGGAUGAAGGCCUUCGGGUUGUAAACUGCUUUUAUAAGUGAGGAUUAUGACAGUAACUUAUGAAUAAGGAUCGGCUAACUACGUG